Molecule: RNA transcript, 2845 nt
Organism: Andrographis paniculata
Lineage: Eukaryota; Viridiplantae; Streptophyta; Magnoliopsida; Lamiales; Acanthaceae
Exons: 14
Source: RefSeq, a predicted model, not a curated record
CACACCCUCCCGACACAAACACACACACACACAUAUAUAUAUAUAUAUGACAUUCUCGUCGUCCUCGUCGAAUUCAUUAACUGAAAUGGAUAAGGAAUCUGGUAAGAAGAAAACGGGGAACUCCUCCACCAGCUUCGCCGAUCUUCAGCCUCGCCGAGGUCAGAAUAAAAUUAUCAGACAGAUAUAUACCGAUGUCCGCCAGACCUUCAAAAAGGACGACGUCGACAAUCACACCAAUGGCGCCUCCGCCGUAAAUCAUUCCUCGUAGAAUUGGAUUUGCACAAUUUGAGAAUGUAUUGUCUGAGUGCUAGCUUACUGUACUGUAAAAUAUAUACUCUGUGUGUGUGUAAGAGAGACUGAGAGAGGAAUUGUUGUAGGAAUUUGACCUGAAGCUUAAGCUAAUUAGCUACUGUAUAUAAUAUUGUUUUUCGAUUAUCAGUUUUCUGAAUGUGAUUUUUUAUUUUUCCUGGUUCAUUACAAGGUUUCUCAAUUGUCAAUUUCUUCUUACAAAGGUCGCAAGAACGGCGUGUCUUAGAUGGAUGGGAAACAGAGCGUUAGCUUAACUCGCGUUUCCAUCUGAAGCUAAAUCGUGUUUUACAGACGGAAUAGAAAACGCGCUUUUAGCAUAAAUGUUUGUGAAAACGGUUAACGUUGACAAUAUGAGAAAAACAAUAUGAGGUUCCGAUUCAAAGCGCCGGUGCCAUUGGCUUUGCUGCGACGGCCGCUGCCGGCGGGGAUUCAUUCGGUGUCCAGCUCGUCGUUUGGAAUCGCGUUUGAUAUAGAUGGUGUGAUACUUCGUGGUGCAGCUCCGAUUGGGAAUUCGGAGAGAGCACUGAGAAGAUUGUAUGACGAUUCUGGUUCUUUGAAGGUUCCCUUUUUGUUUUUGACGAAUGGUGGAGGCAUCCCAGAGUCAAGAAGAGCCUCUGACCUGAGCAAUCUACUUGGAGUAAAUAUUUUACCAUCACAGGUGGUGCAUGGUCAUUCACCCUUCAAAACUUUAUUGAAUAGGUUUGAAAAUGAGUUCAUCGUUGCAACUGGAAAAGGUGAGCCUGCUGUUGUGAUGUCUGAAUAUGGUUUUAAGAGAGUUGUCUCAAUAGAUGAGUAUGUGUCACACUUCAAGAACAUUGAUCCUGUAGCUCAGUACAAGAGGUGGACAACCGUGCAGGAUUCGAACUUCUCCAGAAAUUCUAAGACAGUCUCGAGUUGCGGUGAUUUCUCACAAAGCGUUAAAGCUGCAUUUGUUGUUAGUGAUCCUGUUGACUGGGGGAGGGAUAUACAGGUUUUAUGCGAUAUUUUAACAUCUGGAGGCGUUCCUGGAAAGAAACUUGGGGAUCAACCACCUCUGUUUUUUGCAGCGGAUGAUUUACAAUACCAGGCUGCAUUUCCUUCGGAGCGUCUUGGCAUGGGCGCAUUCAGAAUUGCCCUUGAGAGUGUCUUCAAUAGAAUUCAUGACAAGCCAUUGGAGUACACCUCAUUCGGGAAGCCGAAUCCAUUUGUUUUUAAAAAUGCUGAAACUAUAUUACAGCAUCUUCUACAGUCUAUCGAUCGCAAGAAUACACUUGUCAACGGGCCUUCUUUCAGAACCCUUUAUAUGAUCGGCGACAACCCAUUUGUCGAUGUCAAAGGAGCACAUCAGGCAGGUCAUCCAUGGUUCUCGAUUUUGACGAGGACAGGCGUUUUUAGGCAAAGAGAUAACCAUAAAGAGUAUCCAGCCAAUGUGGUCGUCGACACUGUGGAGGAUGCAAUCGAGUUUAUACUCAGACGUGAGGAUGGUGCUGGUGCUGGUGCGGAGACAAUGCUAUAAGAAUCGAAUCAUCUAAUUGAUUGUUCUUCCCCUCUGGCAGUGAAAUGAAUGCUUGAAAAUCAACGAAGGGAAUGAAUCUCGGAAUGAAGAAUUGAAAAAUAAUAAGAGAAAAAAGACGAUGGGCGGAAGCGGGAAGAGAAAGAGAAGAAAGAAGAGAAAGAGAAAGGGAAGAAAAAAAAAAAAAAAAAAGCCGGCUGGAUCAGGUCUUUUUUUUCCUCCAAUUUUCUUUUUUCUUUCUCUUUUUUCCCAAUUUUUUUUCUUCUUUAUUUUUCCAUCCCAAUUUUCUUUCUUCCUCAAUUCUUCUUCUACAACCAACAACACCAAAUUCUUUCACUUCUUCUUAAAUUAAUUUCAAAUUUGGAUGUCAAAUUGAUCCAUUAGAUUUCUAGGUUUGAUAAAACAUAAGAAGAAAUAACAUAAGAAGAAAUGAACAAUUAAUUUGUGUUCAAAUUUGGUUAUGUUUAGCGGAUUUAAAAUGAAAGAAAAAAAAUGAAUUGAAAUUAAAUUUUAAAAGUAUAGAGAAGAACAAGGAAGAAGAACAAACAAGAAGAAUAAAAAAGAAGCUGUAAAAAUAGUUAUUAGGGUAUUUUAGUAAUUUUAUAUAGAAAUAUAUCCGUUUAUGGACAAAAAAUCGCAUAGCAGGUGCGUCCCAUACAACCACCAUUAAAUCUUAACGGAUGAGAGAUUUUUUGCAACAUUUUGGAAACCACAAGAAGGUUCUUUGGAAUUAUAUAACCACAGAGGGUUUUCAGCAAAUUCGGAAAAUCACAGGGAUUUUUUUGCUAUUUUUUUGAAUUGAAAGUAGGAGUGUUUUAGUAACAUACUUUCACCGUCCCUUUUGAAAUUGGUCAUUUGGAGUUUUGUAAUAAAUUAAAAAAUAAGUUUGUGUUGGGAUGAGAAUAAGUGCAACACCAACUAAUCCUCGUACACUUAUCAAAUGGGCCAACUCCCGAAGCUUAGUUAUAUCACAGUUAUAACGCUGAUUUGUCAAUGAAAUAAAUGAAAGGAUUUCAAAGUAAUAAAUGACAAGUUAUUUGUUUA